GAUGAACGCUGGCGGCGUGCCUAACACAUGCAAGUCGAGCGGCAGCGAGGGGUGCUUGCACCCUGUCGGCGAGCGGCGGACGGCUGAGUAACGCGUGGGAACGUGCCCCAAAGUGAGGAAUAACUGCCCGAAAGGGUAGCUAAUACCGCAUAUUAUCUUCGGAUCAAAGGAUUUAUCCGCUUUGGGAGCGGCUCGCGUCGGAUUAGGUAGUUGGUGAGGUAAUGGCUCACCAAGCCGACGAUCCGUAGCUGGGCUGAGAGGAUGACCAGCCAGACUGGAACUGAGACACGGUCCAGACUCCUACGGGAGGCAGCAGUGAGGAAUCUUCCACAAUGGGCGAAAGCCUGAUGGAGCAACGCCGCGUGCAGGACGAAGGCCUUCGGGUUGUAAACUGCUUUUAUAAGUGAGGAAUAUGACGGUAACUUAUGAAUAAGGAUCGGCUAACUACGU
This 450-nucleotide ribosomal RNA is filed under the name uncultured bacterium. RNAcentral's name for it is "partial 16S ribosomal RNA". It matches the Rfam family "Bacterial small subunit ribosomal RNA", at positions 28 to 506 of the family's 1533-position model. The record is from RNAcentral.